Molecule: small RNA, 2307 nt
Filed under: Pyricularia oryzae
Lineage: Eukaryota; Fungi; Ascomycota; Sordariomycetes; Magnaporthales; Pyriculariaceae
Description: Magnaporthe oryzae sRNA M_BR32_EuGene_00146621
Source: RNAcentral
UUUUAAUAAAUUAUAAAUUAUAAAGUAAUUGGCCUAAAUGGUAAAAUCCAAAAACCCCUAAUUGGUUAAAACGAAUGUUAUUUUUGUAUUUUUUACGUAACGUUUGGAUAAACGUUACACGUUUAAUAUAAAAAUCCUAUCGUAUAUUAACGAUUUUUUCGAUAUUGUCCGUAAAAUAUCCUGUCGGUUUUAAAUAUUUGUAAAAUAACGGUAUUAACGUUUUAUUCUUUUAUUUUGCUUUUUUAUAUUAUUUAAAUAAUAUUAAUUAAUAUUAAUAGGCCUUUUGUAAAUCGAUCGAUUAACAAAACGUUAUUAUUGGGUAAAAGGUAAUAUAGUUUUAUUUAACGAUUAAUUUAUCUACGUUCGAGCUUUUAAUCGUUUUUCUCCUUUUAUACCCGUAAUCGAGGGUCGGAUAAGUUACGUGCGGGUUUAUACGUAAAUCACCGAUUAAAUUAAUAAAUUGAACGCAAUCCCUUCUAUUCCAACAAAAAUAUAAAAUACCCUGAAAAAUUAUGGAGGGGCACAAUUAUUUCGGAAUAUAUAGGAUAAUUUAAAAAAAUACCAUAAACCGAUUUUCCAAGGACGGUAGCCAGGUAAAAAAAAGGAUUAUAUAUAUUAAUAAUCCGUUACAGCACACCGGCAAAUUUAAAAAAUAAAUUUUAAAAUCCAAAUUUAAUAAAAGAAUAUGCCUUUUCAAUUAGCCUUUUGAAUUUCUAAUAUCGUUUAGCUAUUUUAAAAAUGCGGGAAAAAUUAAACACAAUUGUCGCAUUUUUCAAAUAAAAUUUACAAAUUUCAAAACGGUACAAAACCGAAAAAAUAAUUAGGCAAUUAAAACGAAAAAUUCGUGAUUAAACUCCAUAUUGUAAUUUUAAAAACAAUUUACCGUUAAUUUGGAUUUGCAUUAAUAAAAUAAUCAAAUUCUGGGAUGCCCAAAAGAAAUUAGAAUUCCGACGAAAAUAAUUUAAAAUAUAGAAAAAUUGAAAUUAAACCAGGGUUUGCCCAGUUUUGGAUAAACCGAUUCCGGUUGGGGCAAUUUUAACCAAAAGCCCAAAAAUGGGCCGUGGCGAUUCCGCGAUAGGUUAAAAUAAUAAUUACCCUCCAUUUAUUUAAUUAUAAUUAAAAACAAAUUUAGCACCGAAUUUUUACAAUUAAUACAAAUUUUACAGCUGAAAUUUGGUAUUUGAGAUUUCGCGGGCCCAUAUUUUCAAUUCAAUUUCAGGAAUUUGAAUUUUCUUUUCCUAUUUUCGGACCCGAAACAAUAUAAAAUUUUAUUUCUCUAUUAUUUAUAUUAACGCCAAUUAUAAUUGUUUCCAGCUUUAAAAUUUUAAAUAUUAGGUCGGUAAACGUUUUUUACGUUCCAUAUUACGUAUUGUUUUUAAAUUAAAAAUUGGACCAAUUAACAAAUUAACCAUUAAUAUACCAAUACCACCUCCCUGCCCCAAUAUUAUAUUUACGCCGGUAUCCGUUUGGAUACGAUAGCCUUAUACCGUUUAAAUUGCAAUACUUCCAUCGGGACCUCCCAAACCAAUAUUUAAACUUUUACAUUUAUUCCCCGAUUUAAAUAUUUGAACGACGAUUUAAUUGGCCAACGAUACGCAUCCAUCCACACCGAAUUAAUAUAUCCAACGUUUCCUAUAUCGUAAUAUUAACCCCGUAAAACUAAUUUGAACGCGGAAUAACCCAUAUAUUAAUUAAACAAUUUUAAUUUCUGAUAUUUUUUCGAAUGGUCGCGUAAAAUUAAAAAAUUAAAAAGUAUCGGGAAUUAUAAAUAAAAACCUGUGGGCAAUUAUAUUUGUAAACGUAUUUUAAAAAUACCAAAUUUAUUAAUAACCAAGAACGUUCCGCAAUUGUAAUAUAUAUUUACUAACCCUUUUAUUUUUUAUUUUAGUUUUUUGGUAAUUAUUCCUAUAAUUUUGGCCCCGGACCAUUUGUUUUUUUAAAUAAUACCCCAUAAUUUUAAUUCGCCCGCGUACAAAUAAUAUUUAUAAUUUUCGACCAUUAACGAAAAAUAAUGGUCGAUGGUUUUGGAAUUAAUAAUAACCCCUGGUGGUCCUAAUUGCGAACGUUCGAAUACGUUAAACCCGUUCCAAAUUUAACAAUAUAAAAAAAACAAAUAUUUUUAAAAAUCUCGGGUAACGUCUGUUUUUUAUUUAUUAAAUUUAUAAAAUACGUUCGUGUUAAAUGUAAAUCGCUUUAUACGAUUUUUUGUUAGAUUUUAAAAAUAACCAUAUUUUUAACCGGGCCGUUUUUCGAUGCAAUUUAAAAUUGCGUUUCGAAAUCCUGUUUUUAUUUUAGGGAAUUUUUGUA